This 429-nucleotide ribosomal RNA is filed under the name Chloroflexota bacterium. RNAcentral's name for it is "Chloroflexi bacterium partial 16S ribosomal RNA". It matches the Rfam family "Bacterial small subunit ribosomal RNA", at positions 355 to 776 of the family's 1533-position model. Lineage: Bacteria; Bacillati; Chloroflexota. The record is from RNAcentral.
UGGGGAAUAUUGCACAAUGGGCGCAAGCCUGAUGCAGCCAUGCCGCGUGUAUGAAGAAGGCCUUCGGGUUGUAAAGUACUUUCAGUCGGGAGGAAGGUGGUAAGGUUAAUAACCUUAUCAAUUGACGUUACCGACAGAAGAAGCACCGGCUAACACCGUGCCAGCAGCCGCGGUAAUACGGAGGGUGCAAGCGUUAAUCGGAAUUACUGGGCGUAAAGCGCACGCAGGCGGUUGAUUGAGUCAGAUGUGAAAUCCCCGGGCUUAACCCGGGAAUUGCAUCUGAUACUGGUCAGCUAGAGUCUUGUAGAGGGGAGUAGAAUUCCAUGUGUAGCGGUGAAAUGCGUAGAGAUGUGGAGGAAUACCGGUGGCGAAGGCGGCCCCCUGGACAAAGACUGACGCUCAGGUGCGAAAGCGUGGGGAGCAAACAGG